This 527-nucleotide long non-coding RNA is filed under the name Cricetulus griseus (Chinese hamster). RNAcentral describes it as "lncRNA (ENSCGRG00015039448.1)". The record is from RNAcentral. Lineage: Eukaryota; Metazoa; Chordata; Mammalia; Rodentia; Cricetidae.
AAACGCGGGCCGCUCGACACAGAAAAGCGCUCCCCAGAGGAAAUAUGUGCAUACCAUAAGGAGAUAUUUCAGGGAUGAAACCAGAGUCUAAAUAUAAAAUCCGUUUAUGCUUCACAGACAUCUCAUAUAACCUAGAGGUCGCUCACCCUUGACACUUUCUAGCAGCACAAGGUCCACAAACGGCUCGAGUAUGGUGCCGAAAGUAAGAACUUAGAAGCAUCUCUCCUGUCAAACUGGGACCCCUGAUGCCACCACUUCUUUAAAUGAAACCUCUGCCGAGGGCCUGCCCCAAUGAUCACUUUUCAUCCAUGACAUCAUCUCCCAGAACUCAUGGCUGCUUGUUUGUUUUGAUCUGGACCCUUGGUCCCAAUAAAAGCAUUGGCUCACAUAUGUCCCUUCGUGUUCCUUUGGUGUGUGGCCUCUGUGUUCUGUGCUUAUGUGUCUCGGAAUUGUUGGAAGGAUGUUCUCCAUCCAAACUUGAUGUCGUCAACCAUGUGGCUGGGCCUCUCAGAUUCACUUAAUAGACA